AGGAGUUUUGAUCAUGGCUCAGGACGAACGCUGACGGUGUGCUUUAGACAUGCAAGUCGAACGAGAAAGCCCUUCGGGGUGAGUAAAGUGGCGAACGGGUGAGUAACACGUGGGCAAUCUGCCCCUCGCAGGGGGACAACCGGGGGAAACUCCGGCUAAUACCCCGUAAGCUCCAGGGACCGCAUGGCCCUUGGAGGAAAGGUAGCUUCGGCCAUCCGGCGAGGGAUGAGCCCGCGGUGCAUUAGCUAGUUGGUGGGGUAACGGCCUACCAAGGCGACGAUGCAUAGCUGGUCUGAGAGGAUGAUCAGCCACACUGGGACUGAGACACGGCCCAGACUCCUACGGGAGGCAGCAGUCGGGAAUCUUGCGCAAUGGGCGAAAGCCUGACGCAGCAACACCGUGUGUGUGACGAAGGCCUUCGGGUCGUAAAGCACUGUUGUUGGGGACGAAGGGCGAAGGUUAAUAGCCCCGAAGCUUGACGGUACCUUCGAGGAACCCCGGCUAACUACGUGCCAGCAGCCGCGGUAAUACGUAGGGGGCGAGCGUUGUCCGGAAUUAUUGGGCGUAAAGAGCGUGUAGGCGGUUCGGUAAUCUGCUGUGA
RNAcentral lists this ribosomal RNA (601 nucleotides) under uncultured Actinomycetes bacterium. RNAcentral describes it as "bacterial SSU rRNA". It matches the Rfam family "Bacterial small subunit ribosomal RNA", at positions 1 to 597 of the family's 1533-position model. The record is from RNAcentral. Lineage: Bacteria; Bacillati; Actinomycetota; Actinomycetes.